Molecule: ribosomal RNA, 1540 nt
Filed under: Parabacteroides distasonis
Lineage: Bacteria; Pseudomonadati; Bacteroidota; Bacteroidia; Bacteroidales; Tannerellaceae
Description: bacterial SSU rRNA
Rfam family: Bacterial small subunit ribosomal RNA
Source: RNAcentral
CAAUUUAAACAACGAAGAGUUUGAUCCUGGCUCAGGAUGAACGCUAGCGACAGGCUUAACACAUGCAAGUCGAGGGGCAGCACAGGUAGCAAUACCGGGUGGCGACCGGCGCACGGGUGAGUAACGCGUAUGCAACUUGCCUAUCAGAGGGGGAUAACCCGGCGAAAGUCGGACUAAUACCGCAUGAAGCAGGGGCCCCGCAUGGGGAUAUUUGCUAAAGAUUCAUCGCUGAUAGAUAGGCAUGCGUUCCAUUAGGCAGUUGGCGGGGUAACGGCCCACCAAACCGACGAUGGAUAGGGGUUCUGAGAGGAAGGUCCCCCACAUUGGUACUGAGACACGGACCAAACUCCUACGGGAGGCAGCAGUGAGGAAUAUUGGUCAAUGGCCGAGAGGCUGAACCAGCCAAGUCGCGUGAGGGAUGAAGGUUCUAUGGAUCGUAAACCUCUUUUAUAAGGGAAUAAAGUGCGGGACGUGUCCCGUUUUGUAUGUACCUUAUGAAUAAGGAUCGGCUAACUCCGUGCCAGCAGCCGCGGUAAUACGGAGGAUCCGAGCGUUAUCCGGAUUUAUUGGGUUUAAAGGGUGCGUAGGCGGCCUUUUAAGUCAGCGGUGAAAGUCUGUGGCUCAACCAUAGAAUUGCCGUUGAAACUGGGGGGCUUGAGUAUGUUUGAGGCAGGCGGAAUGCGUGGUGUAGCGGUGAAAUGCAUAGAUAUCACGCAGAACCCCGAUUGCGAAGGCAGCCUGCCAAGCCAUUACUGACGCUGAUGCACGAAAGCGUGGGGAUCAAACAGGAUUAGAUACCCUGGUAGUCCACGCAGUAAACGAUGAUCACUAGCUGUUUGCGAUACACUGUAAGCGGCACAGCGAAAGCGUUAAGUGAUCCACCUGGGGAGUACGCCGGCAACGGUGAAACUCAAAGGAAUUGACGGGGGCCCGCACAAGCGGAGGAACAUGUGGUUUAAUUCGAUGAUACGCGAGGAACCUUACCCGGGUUUGAACGCAUUCGGACCGAGGUGGAAACACCUUUUCUAGCAAUAGCCGUUUGCGAGGUGCUGCAUGGUUGUCGUCAGCUCGUGCCGUGAGGUGUCGGCUUAAGUGCCAUAACGAGCGCAACCCUUGCCACUAGUUACUAACAGGUAAAGCUGAGGACUCUGGUGGGACUGCCAGCGUAAGCUGCGAGGAAGGCGGGGAUGACGUCAAAUCAGCACGGCCCUUACAUCCGGGGCGACACACGUGUUACAAUGGCGUGGACAAAGGGAGGCCACCUGGCGACAGGGAGCGAAUCCCCAAACCACGUCUCAGUUCGGAUCGGAGUCUGCAACCCGACUCCGUGAAGCUGGAUUCGCUAGUAAUCGCGCAUCAGCCAUGGCGCGGUGAAUACGUUCCCGGGCCUUGUACACACCGCCCGUCAAGCCAUGGGAGCCGGGGGUACCUGAAGUCCGUAACCGAAAGGAUCGGCCUAGGGUAAAACUGGUGACUGGGGCUAAGUCGUAACAAGGUAGCCGUACCGGAAGGUGCGGCUGGAACACCUCCUUUCUGGAGC